UCAUCGUCAAUCCCCCUCUCUCUCCAACUCUCCUUUGCUGCCGCAACUAUCAAUCUUCCAGAACCAGUGAAAACCAUUUGCGCUUUUGCCUAUGUGCAUCCAUUUCGGUUUAGCCUUCUACAUGAAACCCAUUUUUGUUUAGCCCUCCAAUUUCAUCGUUCUUCUUCAUUCAUCUACCCAAAUCUCACAACCAGAUCUAGAUUUUUGUUGUUGUUGAAAUCGAUCACUAGUGGAAUAAGAAUAGCCUUGCUGCAGAAUGCAAAUUUUUGAGUGUGAGAGGAGAGAUGGAGAGAGAGAGAGAGAGAGAAGGCCAUGGAUUUUGGGUAGCAAGGUAAAGAAGAAGGGUUGAAACCCCAAAGCUGGUGUCCAAAUGGUUGGUGGAUCCUAUGCUUUGCGUUGGUUUCAUCGCGUCGAAGUACCGAAGGCGAAGAGUCGAUGAUGGUGCACGCGGGGAUGCUUAAUCUCUUCCGGUCUUUGUUCCACCCAUUCCAAAACCAGGUUUUGGUGCUAAUAUUUUUGAAAAGCUAUUGAACACGAGGAAGCCAUCAAAUCUUAAAGAUGCAGGGUGUCGUUCGACGAUUUCUGGCUUGAGUUUUUUGCUUUUGGGAUGUAAUUUUUUUAAUUUUUGGUUCGAUUUCUGGGUUUAAUCGACGAUUUCUGUUCUUGAUUUUUGUGAUCUUCAAUAUUUUGUUCUUGAAGAAGAGGGGAAAAAUGUCAAAGAAUUUUUACUGUUGUUUGCAUUACUGUUUAUUUAGAUCUUCUUUCAGUGCC
Prosopis cineraria is the source of this 771-nucleotide long non-coding RNA. RefSeq lists it as uncharacterized. NCBI's taxonomy places the organism in Eukaryota, Viridiplantae, Streptophyta, Magnoliopsida, Fabales, Fabaceae. The record is from RefSeq and is a predicted model, not a curated record. The transcript has 2 exons.